Molecule: long non-coding RNA, 671 nt
Filed under: Homo sapiens (human)
Lineage: Eukaryota; Metazoa; Chordata; Mammalia; Primates; Hominidae
Description: HSALNT0326319
Source: RNAcentral
AAAAAAAAAAAAAAAAAAAAAAGAAAAGAAAAAGAAAUCUGGGUACCCGCGAAUGCGAUUUUUUUUAGGUUUACCGAUGAUCAGUUUAGCAGUGCCUGGGAGCUCUUAUACCAAGUUUGUUUUCGCAAUAUUGAGUCCCACCUUAGCUAAGCUUGUGUGUAUUUUAAACUCCCAUGGAAGUCAGGAAAUGUCCGCAAACGCGAUUUCUGGUUACCAAGCUCCGUUUGGCAAUAGCAAGUCCUGCCGAACGCGACUUUUUCCUCUUGUGGACCAAGUCUGAAUAGACCAGCUACUGCGAUUUUUAAGUCGUAGUAAAAAAGGUUUAACCGUGACUGCUUUUUUUUGUUGGUGUUGUUUGUUUUUGUUUUUGUUUUCGUAGGAAAUGUAGACUUAGGUGUAACAUGUACCGGUUUAGAUCUGACAGAGAUAUCACAAUUGUAGGAUUGCAUCUUUUAGCAAGGGCUUUGACUCCUGAGUCUAAAAAGGUCACUAACUCCCGCUAAAUUGAGAGCAAUUGAAGCCUCAUCUUCAGAUCUAGGAGAAGAUGAAAAUCAGAAUAAGCUGCAGUCAUGAGACAUGGCGCCAGAAAUUAAGACUAUUCAAACCCUCUAGUCCCAGGGACUAUUGAAGAAGAAGUGGAUAAGGUCUAGAUCUGUCACCCAGGCUGGAGU